GGGGUUGCUAUGAUUAUAAAACAUUCCUCGUUCUGAGAAGCUAUUGCCAUGGCAUUGCGGACUCUUUUACACCCAUAGAAUAUGAGCUCC
Molecule: small nucleolar RNA, 90 nt
Organism: Magnolia sinica
Lineage: Eukaryota; Viridiplantae; Streptophyta; Magnoliopsida; Magnoliales; Magnoliaceae
Product: small nucleolar RNA snoR8a
Exons: 1
Source: RefSeq, a predicted model, not a curated record